ACUGUCUUCAGCAGCACUUAACACUAAAAUCAGAACAACAUAGAGAAGAUUAUCACGGCCCCUGCAUAAGGUUGACACAUAGACAUAUGGAGUGUUCUGUAUUUUU
This is a non-coding RNA of Otolemur garnettii (small-eared galago), 106 nucleotides long. Lineage: Eukaryota; Metazoa; Chordata; Mammalia; Primates; Galagidae. The record is from Rfam.